Molecule: ribosomal RNA, 494 nt
Filed under: uncultured bacterium
Lineage: Bacteria
Description: partial 16S ribosomal RNA
Rfam family: Bacterial small subunit ribosomal RNA
Source: RNAcentral
GACGAACGCUGGCGGCGUGCUUAACACAUGCAAGUCGAACGGUGAAGCGCCUUCCUUUUUGGUGGGUGUGGAUGAGUGGCGAACGGGUGAGUAACACGUGAGUAACCUGCCCCCUUCUUCUGGAUAACCGCAUGAAAGUGUGGCUAAUACGGGAUAUUCUGGGUCUGUCGCAUGAUGGGUCUGGGAAAGAUAUUGUUUCGGUGGGGGAUGGGCUCGCGGCCUAUCAGCUUGUUGGUGGGGUGAUGGCCUACCAAGGCGGUGACGGGUAGCCGGCCUGGGAGGGUGGACGGUAACACGGGGACUGAGACACGGACAAGACUCCUACGGGAGGCAGCAGUGGGGAAUAUUGCACAAUGGGCGCAAGCCUGAUGCAGCGACGCCGCGUGAGGGAUGGAGGCCUUCGGGUUGUGAACCUCUUUCGCCAGUGAAGCAGGCCUGCCUCGUUUGUGGGUGGGUUGACGGUAGCUGGAUAAGAAGCGCCGGCUAACUACGUG